This 253-nucleotide ribosomal RNA is filed under the name uncultured bacterium. Its description in RNAcentral is "partial 16S ribosomal RNA". It matches the Rfam family "Bacterial small subunit ribosomal RNA", at positions 524 to 776 of the family's 1533-position model. The record is from RNAcentral.
UACAGAGGGUGCGAGCGUUAAUCGGAAUUACUGGGCGUAAAGCGUGCGUAGACGGUUAUUUAAGUCGGGUGUGAAAGCCCCAGGCUCAACCUGGGAAUUGCAUUCGAGACUGAAUAGCUAGGGUACGGUAGAGGGAAGCGGAAUUUCCGGUGUAGCGGUGAAAUGCGUAGAUAUCUGGAGGAACACCGGUGGCGAAGGCGGCAUCCUGGACCAAUACUGACACUGAGGAGCGAAAGCCAGGGGAGCAAACGGG